UGCCAGCAGCCGCGGUAAUACGGAGGGUCCGAGCGUUAAUCGGAAUUACUGGGCGUAAAGCGUGCGCAGGCGGUUUGUUAAGCGAGAUGUGAAAGCCCUGGGCUCAACCUAGGAAUAGCAUUUCGAACUGGCGAACUAGAGUCUUGUAGAGGGGGGUAGAAUUCCAGGUGUAGCGGUGAAAUGCGUAGAGAUCUGGAGGAAUACCGGUGGCGAAGGCGGCCCCCUGGACAAAGACUGACGCUCAUGCACGAAAGCGUGGGGAGCAAACAGGAUUAGAUA
Molecule: ribosomal RNA, 279 nt
Filed under: uncultured bacterium
Lineage: Bacteria
Description: partial 16S ribosomal RNA
Rfam family: Bacterial small subunit ribosomal RNA
Source: RNAcentral